UAGGGAAUAUUGCGCAAUGGACGAAAGUCUGACGCAGCCACGCCGCGUGAGUGAGGAAGGCCUUCGGGUUGUAAAGCUCUGUCGCCUGGGAAAAACGGCUAUCCGGGGAAAGUUCGGGUAGCGUGAUGGUACCAGGAAAGGAAGCACCGGCAAACUCUGUGCCAGCAGCCGCGGUAAUACAGAGGGUGCAAGCGUUGUUCGGAAUUACUGGGCGUAAAGCGUGCGUAGUCGGUAUUGAGAGUCGCGGGUGAAAUCCCAGGGCUUAACCCUGGAACUGCCUGCGAGACCUCAGUACUAGAGUGUGAGAGGGGAUAGUGGAAUACCCAGUGUAGCGGUGAAAUGCGUAGAGAUUGGGUGGAACACCGGUGGCGAAGGCGGCUAUCUGGCUCACAACUGACGAUCAGGCACGAAAGCGUGGGGAGCAAACAGGAUUAGAUACCCGCGUAGUCCCUGAGCGGGCUGGCAAGGCGCAU
Molecule: ribosomal RNA, 473 nt
Filed under: uncultured bacterium
Lineage: Bacteria
Description: bacterial SSU rRNA
Rfam family: Bacterial small subunit ribosomal RNA
Source: RNAcentral